This is a long non-coding RNA of Dreissena polymorpha, 1247 nucleotides long. RefSeq lists it as uncharacterized. The record is from RefSeq and is a predicted model, not a curated record. Lineage: Eukaryota; Metazoa; Mollusca; Bivalvia; Myida; Dreissenidae. The transcript has 3 exons.
CAUGUCAGGGUCACCAAAUAUUCCUAUGUUACACAGAGCGAUACUAAACUUUGACAGGAUACGUAUAACGAUUGAAGACAGAUGCCAGCGCUAAAUCAACCCAAAAGUGGAUAGGGCUGCAGCCACUUUUAUCACCGUGACGACCGCUCUCGCGCCAUAUUUCACUACUUUCCGGGAGGUCACACCACCUUCUCAACCACGCCCGUUGUAGGACAUAACACUAGAUGCUGCGCCCAUGGUUAUUGGUCUGAAAAAAAGACAGUUCAAAAAGCGGAAAAGACCAAAAUAAAAUGUGGGACGGACGGAAGAAGGACAAACAGUCUGAGGUUCGUGCGGACAAGAGUGAAUUUAAAUUCGAUCACCACCCAAAAGAUGUAAUCAAAAUAACUUUUUAAUGCGUUUCCGUGUAAGAAUACACAUUUUGCUUACUAUUGGUUCAGACAUGGGCACUCAACAGUGACGAUAUUGAAAUGGUACAUGUUUUUACGUACUAAGGUUAUACAUGAGUCUAUAACGGUUGUUUUAAACUUGCAGGAGAAGCAUUUAAUGAGACAGCGCUCAAAGCAUAUUAUGACUUUAUUGUAUUAUUCAACAGAAUCAGAUGAAAUGUAAAAACUGAAUUUAAUAGCAUACAUUUGGGUGUAUUAUGCUUAGAUUCUCUCAAAUGUAAGAUAAGUUGUCUUAGUGUAUUCUAAGAAUUUUUAUCGCAUGCCAUACCCUGUUUCCCAUGUAAUGUAACCAUUACGAAUAUUGUUAUCUUACACAUGUGUAAUAAACUUUUUAAGCGUUUUUAUUGGCUUAUUUUUGUUCGAUUGACCAAUCGCAGUUUGUUAUUUUGCUGAAAUGACGUUGCAACGACAAAUGACGACACGAAAUGUAAACAACAUUCGGGAUUUAUCAUUAUGUUUGCAUAAAUGUCUAUUUAAUUUGCUCAUUUAAAAGCAUGUGAUAAAAAAGAUCUGACACUCGUUGUCAUUUCAUACCAUAUUGUAUUAAACUCGUCCAGAAAAUUAGUUAGUAAGCUCGCCAAAGGCUCUCUUACUAACAAAAUUCCUGAACUCGUUUAAUAAAAUAAGGUAUGAUAUGACAACUCGUGCCAGAUCCUAUAUAUGGUCCGAGAUGUUUUCUAUGUGGCGUUAGAACAAUCUUGGGCCGAUAGUGAAUUCACAGAUAAAUUGGUCAUGUUUUAUUAUUUUAAGAAAAAACAACAACAUACCAAUAUUUAUUUCAAUGCCGUUUGUCUUUUA